AAUAAUAAUAAUAAUAAUAAUAAUAAUAAUGGAUCAAGAUGAUUUAGAACAAAUGCCUUAUCAAUUUUAUAAGCUUUAUGAAGAGAUAGAUGAAGAAGGGGAUGUGUGGGACACAAGUGAGAAAAUGGAAUAUCUGAAACCAGUACAAUCAAAAAUCUCACCAAGAUUAUGAUGAUGAGAUAUUCUUUGGGAACAGAACAAGUUGCAUACCAUUAGAAACACUUUAUGCAAGAUUGGGGGAUGAUAAUGAAGAUGACUUUAUAGAGAAGUUGAAUUACAUGACUUGUACUGAUACAGAUUUUGAAUGGAAAGGUGGAUAUCAAGGGACAUAUUAAGAACUGGAGGAGGAAAGAUGGAUAUACAACUUCACUUCUAUUCUCUAACUUCAAAAACAUUACAAAUACCAUUCAUGCUGUAACAGUGAAACCAAGAUUAGUUGGAGUUCCAUAGGGUAACAUACUAUACAAGACCUUAUGGGAAUGAAGACUAGUCUUAGGUAGAAAAGAAAAUAUGCAAGCACAAAAACAACUGAGUAAUUCAACAACAAGUACACUCCUAAACUUGUAGCAUAAAACUCCAAUUUCAUAACUAGCACAGACACAAACACCUAGAAUGCUAUGGAAGCAUAAAUUUACAUUGGAUGAAUUUGUUAUUAAGAUUUAGUUGAGAACUGAAAAAGGUUAUCUAUUUCUCUCAACCUUCACCCUAAAUUAAUCUCUACCUGGGGAAGGGAGAGAGGGAGGUUAUACAAUGAAGAUAUUAUCUCAUAGUUUCAGAUACCUCACAAGAAGCAACAAUGUGAUCAUGCCAUCACUGAAGAAGCAUACAAAGGACAUCUGAUUAAAAAAAAGAACCCUAGUCAUGAGCAGCAACACAAGUAGCCAAAGAAGGAAUCAAUAACAGUCCUUGUGAAUGAAAGCCUAUGAAAACAAAGAAAAGCACAUGAGAGAACUUAUCAACAAAUAGUACAGACAAGAGAGCACUGCACAUGUUGAAAUGAUAACAGGAAAGCAUCCCUGAAGCAAAUAGAACAGUUCCAGAAAGAAAAGCCGGUGAAACAAAAAGAAAUAUGCAUUUAAAAGACUAGCAACCACAGAAAAAUCUCUACAUUAUAUACAAAGUCUCUGCCAGCCAUAGUAACAGAAAAGAAACAAUGUUAUUUCAAAUGAAAAUGUAACUCCAUGACCAUACAAAUGCAUUAUAUCUAAAGUCUAUCUCCAAAACCUUACAUAAGAAAACAUACAAUAAACCUCCUUGUGAAAAAAUUCAAACAUCAAAAAGUUGUUCCUGAAUUGAAGAACACAGGUCUUCAAUCAAGAGUAAAUGAAAACAGGAGAGUGGUAUGCUGACCAGAAGAUGAAGACAGAGGUUAUACAAUCAACAUAAAAGGACAUGGAAGGACUGUGAAAACAAAAAAGGGAGGGAUGUGGAGGAGGCAUGCAUGCAAGACAGAAAGCUAAGGAUAGAAGAGCUGUCAAUCAAAAGAGCUCAGCCAGGAAAGACAGGCUGAACUGGGCUGAGAGGCUUCUGAACUGGACUCGUUUUGGCUUCUGACAGAGGGGGGUGGAGAAGUAACUGGAGUUUCUGGAUUUUGAACUAAGUUUUUGGCUGCCUGUGGCUGAUGGUGAAGACCCUGAAUCUUUUGCUGAUUGACUGAGGUUACCCGGCUGGUUAGAAAAAAGAAGACAUACAGUUGUCCUUCUAAUCUCUCUGACUGUCCCUGCUAGUGACUGAUUACUAUUUCCCCAAUAUCCUUCUAACCCUCAUUUUAGAGAAUAGGGAAACCUAUUGCUCUUACCUUAUCCUCCAUCCUUUCCUGUCUUCCCCAAAUAAACCCUUACUUGAGUUAAAGAAGAGAAAAGAGUAUUUUCUCUAAAGCAUAGUAGUUCACACUGAGUGAAACUGGAAAAGGGGGAGGGGAAGCUGAAAGGUUUUGAAGAGAGGGUGGAAAUAGGGAGUAGGGUAGGAAAAACUUUAUCCAUUAGUCAUCCAGGAGAAUUAAUAGACACCCUCAAGAAUUACUAUCUAUUACAUCAGGCAUUCUUAUGGUGAAAACCCUGAUCUAGGUUCUACCAUGAUCACAUAUAAAGAUCCAUUUAGGUUAUAUUGGGAGGGGAAUUGCUAAUACUUUCAUCUUUUGGAAACAGAUAUUUAUGCCUUUCAUUUAGAAAAUUAUAGAAUAAAAAAAGGAUAGGAGGAUUUAAUGGUGCAAAGUGAUGUAAAAAGAGAUAAGAAAAAAUAGACAUGACCAAAAGGGUUGAUGGGAGCAAUGUGCAUAAAACAAAAUAAAUGAAUGCUGUAAAU
Molecule: long non-coding RNA, 2304 nt
Organism: Monodelphis domestica (gray short-tailed opossum)
Lineage: Eukaryota; Metazoa; Chordata; Mammalia; Didelphimorphia; Didelphidae
Source: RefSeq, a predicted model, not a curated record